Oncorhynchus keta (chum salmon) is the source of this 1440-nucleotide long non-coding RNA. RefSeq lists it as uncharacterized. The record is from RefSeq and is a predicted model, not a curated record. The transcript has 6 exons. Lineage: Eukaryota; Metazoa; Chordata; Actinopteri; Salmoniformes; Salmonidae.
AGAACAUGUCACAUAGUACAUAAUCAAUGAUGUCCUACCUUCCAUUCAUUAGCAUAACUAAACUGCUGUAAAAACAAACAACCUCAGUUUACCAGUAUAGUGUAAGCUAGGUCAUCUAAUGAUACAUUAACAGAGUUUAUGAGGCUAGAAACACCCCAGUAUCGUCUAAAAUAGGUCAUCUAAUGAUACAUUAACAGAGUUUAUGAGGCUAGAAACACCCCAGUAUCGUCUAAAAUAGGUCAUCUAAUGAUACAUUAACAGAGUUUAUGAGGCUAGAAACACCCCAGUAUCGUCUAAAAUAGGUCAUCUAAUGAUACAUUAACAGAGUUUAUGAGGCUAGAAACACCCCAGUAUCGUCUAAAAUAGGUCAUCUAAUGAUACAUUAACACAGUUUAUGAGGCUAGAAACACCCCAGUAUCGUCUAAAAUAGGUCAUCUAAUGAUACAUUAACACAGUUUAUGAGGCUAGAAACACCCCAGUAUCGUCUAAAAUAGGUCAUCUAAUGAUACAUUAACACAGUUUAUGAGGCUAGAAACACCCCAGUAUCGUCUAAAAUAGGUCAUCUAAUGAUACAUUAACAGAGUUUAUGAGGCUAGAAACACCCCAGUAUCGUCUAAAAUAGGUCAUCUAAUGAUACAUUAACAGAGUUUAUGAGGCUAGAAACACCCCAGUAUCGUCUAAAAUAGGUCAUCUAAUGAUACAUUAACAGAGUUUAUGAGGCUAGAAACACCCCAGUAUCGUCUAAAAUAGGUCAUCUAAUGAUACAUUAACAGAGUUUAUGAGGCUAGAAACACCCCAGUAUCGUCUAAAAUAGGUCAUCUAAUGAUACAUUAACAGAGUUUAUGAGGCUAGAAACACCCCAGUAUCGUCUAAAAUAGGUCAUCUAAUGAUACAUUAACAGAGUUUAUGAGGCUAGAAACACCCCAGUAUCGUCUAAAAUAGGUCAUCUAAUGAUACAUUAACACAGUUUAUGAGGCUAGAAACACCCCAGUAUCGUCUAAAAUAGGUCAUCUAAUGAUACAUUAACAGAGUUUAUGAGGCUAGAAACACCCCAGUAUCGUCUAAAAUAGGUCAUCUAAUGAUACAUUAACAGAGUUUAUGAGGCUAGAAACACCCCAGUAUCGUCUAAAAUAGGUCAUCUAAUGAUACAUUAACAGAGUUUAUGAGGCUAGAAACACCCCAGUAUCGUCUAAAAUAGGUCAUCUAAUGAUACAUUAACACAGUUUAUGAGGCUAGAAACACCCCAGUAUCGUCUAAAAUAGGUCAUCUAAUGAUACAUUAACAGAGUUUAUGAGGCUAGAAACACCCCAGUAUCGUCUAAAAUAGGUCAUCUAAUGAUACAUUAACAGAGUUUAUGAGGCUAGAAACACCCCAGUAUCGUCUAAAAUAGGUCAUCUAAUGAUACAUUAACAGAGUUUACAAGGUAAGAAACAGUAAGAU